RNAcentral lists this ribosomal RNA (253 nucleotides) under uncultured bacterium. RNAcentral's name for it is "partial 16S ribosomal RNA". It matches the Rfam family "Bacterial small subunit ribosomal RNA", at positions 524 to 776 of the family's 1533-position model. The record is from RNAcentral.
UACAGAGGGGGCAAGCGUUAUUCGGAAUUAUUGGGCGUAAAGGGCGCGUAGGCGGCUUGGCAAGUGGAUGGUGAAAUCCCUCGGCUUAACCGAGGAACUGCCGUCCAAACUGCUUCGCUUGAGACCGGGAGAGGUGAGUGGAAUUCCCAGUGUAGCGGUGAAAUGCGUAGAUAUUGGGAGGAACACCAGUGGCGAAGGCGGCUCACUGGACCGGUGCUGACGCUGAUGCGCGAAAGCGUGGGGAGCAAACGGG